AUGGAUUAAGAGCUUGCUCUUAUGAAGUUAGCGGCGGACGGGUGAGUAACACGUGGGUAACCUACCCAUAAGACUGGGAUAACUCCGGGAAACCGGGGCUAAUACCGGAUAAUAUUUUGAACUGCAUAGUUCGAAAUUGAAAGGCGGCUUCGGCUGUCACUUAUGGAUGGACCCGCGUCGCAUUAGCUAGUUGGUGAGGUAACGGCUCACCAAGGCGACGAUGCGUAGCCGACCUGAGAGGGUGAUCGGCCACACUGGGACUGAGACACGGCCCAGACUCCUACGGGAGGCAGCAGUAGGGAAUCUUCCGCAAUGGACGAAAGUCUGACGGAGCAACGCCGCGUGAGUGAUGAAGGCUUUCGGGUCGUAAAACUCUGUUGUUAGGGAAGAACAAGUGCUAGUUGAAUAAGCUGGCACCUUGACGGUACCUAACCAGAAAGCCACGGCUAACUACGUGCCAGCAGCCGCGGUAAUACGUAGGUGGCAAGCGUUAUCCGGAAUUAUUGGGCGUAAAGCGCGCGCAGGUGGUUUCUUAAGUCUGAUGUGAAAGCCCACGGCUCAACCGUGGAGGGUCAUUGGAAACUGGGAGACUUGAGUGCAGAAGAGGAAAGUGGAAUUCCAUGUGUAGCGGUGAAAUGCGUAGAGAUAUGGAGGAACACCAGUGGCGAAGGCGACUUUCUGGUCUGUAACUGACACUGAGGCGCGAAAGCGUGGGGAGCAAAC
This 723-nucleotide ribosomal RNA is filed under the name Bacillus sp. (in: firmicutes). RNAcentral describes it as "bacterial SSU rRNA". It matches the Rfam family "Bacterial small subunit ribosomal RNA", at positions 69 to 773 of the family's 1533-position model. The record is from RNAcentral. Lineage: Bacteria; Bacillati; Bacillota; Bacilli; Caryophanales; Bacillaceae.